AAUGAGGGUUGGUUACUUGUGGGCACCAGGUCCGGGUCCGCUACCUUAACAGGCCGUUGAGUUACCAUGAUUUACAUUCCUCCAUCAAUCCUUGUCGGGCCAAGGGAUGGGGGCCGUGGGGGCGAGGGAUUUAGCCUUUUGGUGCAAGAAUGAAGUGGUGGUGGCCAUUGAAGCAAUUGAACCGGCAGCAAAGAAAGCACUGAGCCAUAUCCUCAAAACGAGCCCGGUUCAAGUACUCAAACAAAAUUAAGUAAAUUGAAACUCAAAACGCUGUGGACGGCUUCGGCGACGCAACACAACACGGAGGAGUGCCCAAGACCAACCUCACGCCACCUGAAAAAAAAAAGAGAGAGAAGCAGAUCUUACGCGACAGUCAAGAGAAGAGAAAGGGGAUGUGGCGGACGCAAAGAGAAAAGAGAGGAGCGGUAGCAGCGGCGAACGCACAAAGAUCGCACGGUGAUCGGUGGAGAGAGAGAGAAGGG
RNAcentral lists this long non-coding RNA (482 nucleotides) under Erythranthe guttata (spotted monkey flower). RNAcentral describes it as "long non-coding RNA (EGUT_LNC003175)". The record is from RNAcentral. Lineage: Eukaryota; Viridiplantae; Streptophyta; Magnoliopsida; Lamiales; Phrymaceae.